This 589-nucleotide long non-coding RNA is filed under the name Anser brachyrhynchus (Pink-footed goose). RNAcentral's name for it is "lncRNA (ENSABRG00000011005.1)". The record is from RNAcentral. Lineage: Eukaryota; Metazoa; Chordata; Aves; Anseriformes; Anatidae.
AUGCGGCGGCCAGCCCUCCGAUGCAGCAUGGAGCUGGCGGCCGCCUCCAUCUCAGAACCUUCUGGGCCUUCUCCUCAGAGGUGUCCUCCUCAAGUGCUGCCACCGUGGGGCUGCCCACAUGGAGAUGCCAUGGCCUCCUCCUGGCCCAGCGUGGUAGCCUCCGUGAGGCACAUCUCUUGCAUGAAGGCGCUCCAUGAAGGAAGGGGCUCCGUUUCUCUGGAGGUUUCUCAAGUAGCAAGGCGUUUUCCUGCAGUUUCGUGGCUAUAUGUUGUGAGAGAUUUGUUUCACCAGGAAUUCAGCUCCUUCAAGUGCUGGAGUUGCAAUGAGAUUCUGCUGGGAGAGCCUGACAGGACAUUCAGUUGGUACAAAGCAGAUCUGUACAGACCAUCGCUCCAUCGCUCCAGUACAGAAGUGUCUUGUCACAGUAGUGAAGGACUGUCACAUCUUGCACACCAUGUUAUUUUCAUUGCCAGCAUAGCGAGUAGAAAAGCGUCACAACCGAGUUUCCUCUUGGCAGGAUUUAUAUUGCCUAAUUUUAAAUAUCUACAGCGUAGAUGUCAAAGUAAGAGCUCAUUAUCCAAAGUCGCCG